RNAcentral lists this ribosomal RNA (440 nucleotides) under uncultured bacterium. Its description in RNAcentral is "partial 16S ribosomal RNA". It matches the Rfam family "Bacterial small subunit ribosomal RNA", at positions 338 to 795 of the family's 1533-position model. The record is from RNAcentral.
CCUACGGGCGGCAGCAGUAGGGAAUUUUGCGCAAUGGGCGAAAGCCUGACGCAGCAACGCCGCGUGAUCGAGACGCCCUUCGGGGUGUAAAGAUCUGUCAGUGGGGACGAAACUUGACUGUACCCACAGCAGAAGCACCGGCUAACUCCGGGCACGCAGCCGCGGUAAGACGGGGGGUGCAAGCGUUGUCCGGAAUCAUUGGGCGUAAAGAGUUCGUAGGCGGCACGUAAAGUCUGGUGUGAAAGGCAGAGGCUCAACUUCUGUACGGCACUGGAUACUUGCGAGCUAGCAUUCGGGAGAGGUAAAGGGAAUUCCUGGUGUAGCGGUGAAAUGCUUAGAUAUCAGGAGGAACAUCGGUGGCGUAAGCGCUUUACUGGGCCGUAAUUGACGCUGAGGAACGAAAGCCAGGGUAGCAAAUGGGAUUAGAUACCCGUGUAGUC